AGCUUUUACAGUGGCAGUAUCAUAGCCAAUGAGGUUUAUCUGAGGCAUGAUUAUUGCUAAUUGAAAACUUUAUUUCUUGGGAAAAUAGAAUAUAGCUAUAUCGCUGACAUAGAUGCCCAAGUUACUGUUUUAAAAUAAGUUUA
This is a non-coding RNA of Macaca mulatta (Rhesus monkey), 143 nucleotides long. Lineage: Eukaryota; Metazoa; Chordata; Mammalia; Primates; Cercopithecidae. The record is from RefSeq and is a predicted model, not a curated record.